CAGUCGCCGCGGUAAUACGUAGGUGGCAAGCGUUGUCUGGAAUUAUUGGGCGUAAAGGGCUCGCAGGCGGUUUCUUAAGUCUGAUGUGAAAGCCCCCGGCUCAACCGGGGAGGGUCAUUGGAAACUGGGAAACUUGAGUGCAGAAGAGGAGAGUGGAAUUCCACGUGUAGCGGUGAAAUGCGUAGAGAUGUGGAGGAACACCAGUGGCGAAGGCGACUCUCUGGUCUGUAACUGACGCUGAGGAGCGAAAGCGUGGGGAGCGAACAGGAUUAGAUACCCCCGUAGUCCCUGUCUCUUAUAC
RNAcentral lists this ribosomal RNA (301 nucleotides) under uncultured bacterium. RNAcentral describes it as "partial 16S ribosomal RNA". It matches the Rfam family "Bacterial small subunit ribosomal RNA", at positions 509 to 807 of the family's 1533-position model. The record is from RNAcentral.